AUUGAACGCUGGCGGCAUGCCUUACACAUGCAAGUCGAACGGCAGCACGGGGCAACCUGGUGGCGAGUGGCGAACGGGUGAGUAAUGCAUCGGAACGUGCCAUUGAGUGGGGGAUAACGUAGCGAAAGUUGCGCUAAUACCGCAUAUUCUGUGAGCAGGAAAGCAGGGGGACCGCAAGGCCUUGCGCUCUUUGAGCGGCCGAUGUCAGAUUAGCUAGUUGGUGAGGUAACGGCUUACCAAGGCGACGAUCUGUAGCGGGUCUGAGAGGAUGAUCCGCCACACUGGAACUGAGACACGGUCCAGACUCCUACGGGAGGCAGCAGUGGGGAAUUUUGGACAAUGGGCGCAAGCCUGAUCCAGCCAUGCCGCGUGAGUGAAGAAGGCCUUCGGGUU
This 393-nucleotide ribosomal RNA is filed under the name uncultured bacterium. RNAcentral describes it as "bacterial SSU rRNA". It matches the Rfam family "Bacterial small subunit ribosomal RNA", at positions 30 to 424 of the family's 1533-position model. The record is from RNAcentral.